RNAcentral lists this ribosomal RNA (433 nucleotides) under uncultured Lachnospiraceae bacterium. Its description in RNAcentral is "partial 16S ribosomal RNA". It matches the Rfam family "Bacterial small subunit ribosomal RNA", at positions 341 to 792 of the family's 1533-position model. The record is from RNAcentral. Lineage: Bacteria; Bacillati; Bacillota; Clostridia; Lachnospirales; Lachnospiraceae.
ACGGGAGGCAGCAGUGGGGGAUAUUGCACAAUGGGGGAAACCCUGAUGCAGCGACGCCGCGUGAGUGAAGAAGUAUUUCGGUAUGUAAAGCUCUAUCAGCAGGAAAGAUAAUGACGGUACCUGACUAAGAAGCACCGGCUAAAUACGUGCCAGCAGCCGCGGUAAUACGUAUGGUGCAAGCGUUAUCCGGAUUUACUGGGUGUAAAGGGAGCGUAGACGGCAUGGCAAGUCUGAAGUGAAAGCCUGGGGCUCAACCCCGGAACUGCUUUGGAACUGUUAAACUUGAGUGCAGGAGAGGAAAGUGGAAUUCCUAGUGUAGCGGUGGAAUGCGUAGAUAUUAGGAGGAACACCAGUGGCGAAGGCGGCUUUCUGGACUGUAACUGACACUGAGGCUCGAAAGCGUGGGGAGCAAACAGGAUUAGAUACCCUGGUA